Molecule: non-coding RNA, 271 nt
Organism: Heterocephalus glaber (naked mole-rat)
Lineage: Eukaryota; Metazoa; Chordata; Mammalia; Rodentia; Bathyergidae
Source: RefSeq, a predicted model, not a curated record
UACAAUAUAAGGGACAGAAAGAGCUUUGUCUUCCUUCUUGUUGCUUUUGCUGUCUUGGCUGCAAUGAACUACUGUUUCUCCUCAGUGGAUGGCCCUCUGCCAUGUACCACUCUGCCUUGGAGCCAACUAUGGACGGUUCUUCGUUGAGAUUGACGCGAGUUAUUACUCUUCCAGAAUCUUCUUCUACGUCGAAAAUACUGGCAGGGUGCAAAAAGGGACCACUGGAAGUAAAGAAAGAGGAAAGGAGUGAUAGUUGCUACAACUUAUUUGA